AUUGAACGCUGGCGGCAUGCCUAACACAUGCAAGUCGAACGGCAGCACGGGAGCUUGCUCCUGGUGGCGAGUGGCGGACGGGUGAGUAAUGCAUAGGAAUCUGCCCAGUAGCGGGGGACAACUUGGGGAAACUCAAGCUAAUACCGCAUGCGCCCUACGGGGGAAAGCGGGGGACCUUCGGGCCUCGCACUAUUGGAUGAGCCUAUGUCAGAUUAGCUUGUUGGUGGGGUAACGGCCUACCAAGGCGACGAUCUGUAGCUGGUCUGAGAGGACGAUCAGCCACACUGGGACUGAGACACGGCCCAGACUCCUACGGGAGGCAGCAGUGGGGAAUAUUGCACAAUGGGCGAAAGCCUGAUGCAGCAAUGCCGCGUGUGUGAAGAAGGCCUGCGGGUUGUAAAGCACUUUCAGUAGGAGGAAACAGUAGCCGGUUAACUAUCCGGUUGCCUUGACGUUACAUACAGAAGAAGCACCGGCUAACUCUGUG
RNAcentral lists this ribosomal RNA (487 nucleotides) under uncultured bacterium. Its description in RNAcentral is "bacterial SSU rRNA". It matches the Rfam family "Bacterial small subunit ribosomal RNA", at positions 30 to 507 of the family's 1533-position model. The record is from RNAcentral.